Molecule: long non-coding RNA, 10959 nt
Organism: Peromyscus californicus insignis
Lineage: Eukaryota; Metazoa; Chordata; Mammalia; Rodentia; Cricetidae
Exons: 5
Source: RefSeq, a predicted model, not a curated record
CUCAAGUCCAAGUGGACCAAAGACAUCAACAUAAAACCAGAUACACUGAACCCAAUAGAAGAGAAAGUGGGGAAGAGCCUUGAGCUCAUUGGCACAGGAGACAGCUUCCUGAACAGAACACCAACAGCACAGGCACUGAGAACAACGAUCAAUAAAUGGGACCUCAUGAAACUGAGAAGCUUCUGUAAGGCAGAGACACAAGAAGGCAGCCCACAGAAUAGGGGAAGAUUUUCACCAACCCUACAUCAGACAGAGGGCCAGUAUCCAAAAUAUAUAAAGAACUCAAGAAACUAGACAUAAUAAACCAAAUAAUCCAAUUAAAAAUGGAGUACAGCUCUAAACAGAGAAUUCUCAACAGAGGAAUCUCAAAUGACUGAGAAACAAAACAAUGUUCAACAUCCUUAGCCAUCAGGGGACUGCAAAUCAAAACUACGUUGAGAUUCCAUCUUACACCUGUCAGAAUGGCUAAGAUCAAAAACACAAGUGACGUUUCAUACAGGCAAGGAUGUGGAGCAAGAGGAACACUCCUUCCAUCGCUGGUGGGAAUGCAAACUAGGCAUUAUGGAAAUCAAUGUGGUGGUUCCUCAGAAAACGGGGAAUUGAUUUGCCCUAAGACCCAGCUGUACAACUCUUGAGCAUAUACUCAGAGGACUCGCCAUCGUACUCUAAGGACACUUGCUCAACCAUGUUCACACAUACUUUAGUCAUAAUAGCCAGAAACUGGAAACAACCUAGAUAUCCCUCAACAUAAAAAUGGUUAAAGAAAUUGUAGUACAUUUAUACAAUGGAGUGCUAUUCAGCUGUUAAAAAAAAUAACAUCAUGAAAUUUGCAGGCAAAUUGAUAGAACUAGAAAAAAAAAUCAUCCUGGGUGAAAUAACUCAGACUCAGAAAGACAAACAUGGUAUGUACUCACUUAUAAGUGGACAUUAACUGUUAAGUAGAGGACGAUCAUGCUACCAUCCAUGGGCCCAGAGAGGCUAAGUCACAAGGAGGACUCAGGGUGUCGGAGGAAUGCAUGGAUUUCCCUGGGAAGGGGAAAUAGAAAAGAUUUUGUGGGUAAACUAGGGGUAGGUGGGGAUGGGAACAGGGGGAUCUGCUGGGGGACAGGAGAAAGUACUGGGAGAAUUGACUGGGAUUGAGGGUUAUUUGGAGGGGAGAAAUGUAGAAACCUAGUGUAGUGGAAACCCCCUAGAAUCUACAAGUGUGACCUUAGAGAAGUCUCCUAGAAAUGGGGAUACAGAGCCCGAACUGGUCAUCUUCUUUAACCAGGCAAGGCUCCCAGCAGUGAGCCUGGGACAUCAACCCAGCCACAAAACCUUCAACCUAUAGUCUGUCUUGCCUGCAAGACGUGCUGGGACAGUGGUGGCACAGAACUUGUGGGAGUGGACUAGUCCAACUUGAGGCCCAUGCCACAAGAGGGAGCCCAUGCCUAACAUGGCCUGGAUGGCCAGGAACCAGAGGCAGGACAGCCCAGAGACCCAGGAUAGAACCAAAUAGGGCUGGGGGUGAAGCGGGGGGAGUCAUUGAAAUGAUUCCUAAGGAUAUUCUGCUAUACUCAUAGAUCGGUGCCUAGCCCAGUUGUCAUCAGAGGGGCAUCAUCCAGAAACUGAUGGGAGCAGAUGCAGAGACCUACAGCCAAACACUAGGUGAAGCAAGGGGAACCCUGCAGAAUAGGGAGAGGAAGGAUUGAACCAGAGGGGUAGAGGACACCAGGAGAACAAGGCCCACAGGAUCUACUAAGCAGGAUUCAUAGGGGCUCACAGAAACUGAAGUGACAAGCAUGGACCCUGUUUGGGUCUGAGCUAGGUCCUCUGCAUAUACCUUAUGGGUGUGUAGCCUGGUGUUCUUGCGGGACUCCCAACAAUGAAAGUCGGGGAUGUCUCUGACUCCUUUGCCUGUGCUUGGGAUCCUUUUCCUCCUACUGGGUUGCCAUGUCCAGCCGUGAUGUGAAGGUUUGUGCCCAGUCUUAUUGUAACUUGUUAUGUUGUGUCCUGUGGAUAUCCCUGGGAGGGCUGCCCCUCCACCACGGGAAACAAAAGGAACUGAUCUAGGGAGUUGGGAAGUGGGGGAGGGACUGGGAAGAGCAGAGGGAGGAGAAACUCUGGUGGGGAUGUCAUGUAUGAGAGAAGAAUAACAGUUAAAAAAAGAGAGACAUGGGAAUGCAUUUUUCAAGGAGUUUAUUGUCUUCUAGAAAGGAGAAAAACCUAUGUAUGAAGUAAAUUGAGAGCACACUAAGGAAGGGUAACAUACCUUCUAACUUGUAAAUGUGCUGUGCUGUAUCCACUAAGUACCUCUCGGCCCUCAUCCUGAUUCUCACAAUAAAGCUGAUGUUAUUUAGUUGUUGCUAUUAUUAUUAUUAUUAUUGGGCUGUGCUCCGAAGGUGGAGAAAAAUUAGCACAUAAGUAGUUAAGUAGUGACUUCCUGUGGUAGCAAGCGAUGGGUGGGUCAAUCGGGUAAUAGCCAGGUCUCUCAGGAUCUGCCUCACUUUUCAUUGCAGGUUACCAGGCUGCUUCUCUCCUCAGUGAUGCACAGAAACACAGUGGUGUGUGUCAAAGAGCCUUGUGAGGAAAGACAGUCCAGGAGGGAGGCGGGGAGUGAUUUAAGCAUCAGUCAAAUUCUCCUCUCAUCCUCUUGAAUAAAUGUAUCAACAUGUCAAGCUGUGUGUAGAUAACUCUUAAAAUUGUACUUAUGGCACUAUAUUUACAGUUUUAUUUCAGAGAAUAAAUACAUUCAUGUCCAUGCUCUUCCACAGAUAAACUUAAAACAAAAUUUAAGAGUAGGCAAAGAGCUUAGAGAACGUCUCCACUCAUUGGAGCUGGAGUUCGUGUGGGCAGAGUGGACUCGGGCAUAGAAUUGACUUCAACAAGUAUGUCCUUUAUCUAUUUGCUAUUGCUCACAAUCAUACUGUAAUUCUACUUCCUAGCCUUGAAGUUAGGACUCAGUUUUGUCUGACAAAUACUUUUGUAGGUCUCUCCUGGAUAAGACACAAUACUACAUAUGACAUUUUGGAGAGCAGGUCUACAUAUUUUCUGAUUAGUCUUCACAUUUAAUCAGUUGGAUGUAAGAGGCCUCAAAUGCUCACCCUUAGUGGCUGCACUUACUCUGUGGAGACCAGCACUGGUUGGCAGUAGCAUGUGUUGAGAAUUCAGAGGAGCUGUAUAAGAGCCUGAGUUCCAGCAGACUCCCAGGUCAUUUCUCAGGAUGGGCUAGAAUAUGAUAUGGUAGCGGUAGCAAAUGACUUUGUUUAACAAAUACUUUGCUCUCAUUACAUGUCCCCACGUAAUGUGCAUAAGCUCACAUUGCACAUUGGCCGGGAACCCACUGCUGAUAGAACCUCCUCCUUCUGGAAUGCACCAGUUCCAGUGACAGGAAGAAGAAAAUACUGACCUGUCACAAACUACAGUUUAAUUCCUCUAUAUUCUUUCAUUGGCCAAAGCAAGUUCAGUGGUUGGCCAUGAUCAACUAAAGGGAGGGGAAAUUGUACCAUGUUCCAGGACUGGGAGAAGAGACCUGUAGAUAUGGAUUAGAAGAGGAGAGAUAGCAGCGAGGUGUAUUUAAUAACUGACGGGCUGUGGAAACCGGAGGGGGGUUGCUAUGGGGGAAGUAAUGAGAGAACACUGUAAGGGGAAAAGGCACUAAAAUCCGCUCAAGUGGAAAACUGCUCUGGGCAAAUGCAGAGGAGAGGCAAGUUAGGGCAACAACCUCCUGGACUCCGCUGCUCAGGUUCUGUCCCUUAUGUGUUAGGAGCCUGGGUUCCAUGUGGUUCCAUGAGGUUCCAUACUGUUUAUUAGCCUGAGCUUUUGCUUCCUAAGAAUGAAGAAAGCGCCGGGCGGUGGUGGCGCACGCCUUUAAUCCCAGCACUCGGGAGGCAGAGCCAGGCGGAUCUCUGUGAGUUCAAGGCCAGCCUGGGCUACAGGGUGAGUUCCAGGACAGGUGCAAAGCUACACAGAGAAACCCUGUCUUGAAAAACCAAAAAAAAAAAGAAUGAAGAAAGCAAGCCCCAGGCCUACAUUGCAGGAGACCUAGGUGAUCCCCGAGAGACUUUCUGCAGGAAGCUGGUUACUAGUGAGUGCAUGGAUGGGCUGGAUCCCUGAGGAACCUAGUGGCUUCUCUUCCAGGAUGAAUAAUCAUCUGUGUGGGACUGUGAACCUGGAGUAUUUGUAGAGACCCAGGGAGACUUGGGGACCCAUUGGCAUGGGAUGGGAAGAAACUUGGGGGUAGACAUCACUCCUUGGGGGUUCUCAUCAGCCACAUUGGCAUCAGCCAGUGAAAGGGAACAAGGUCCUCGAUCGAGCGCCCUCUCCCUGUAAGUCACCCUGACUCCUCCCAAUCCCCCGACAACAAGGGCUUCCAGAUCUGGGUCUCGCUCAGUCAUUUCUUUUGGGCCCCAAGGAAACACUUGGCUUUGUUUCUUAUUUCCAUGGUCAUGUGAGGAACUCUGCGGCCAUUUGGCCCCUUCUCCAUCUAGAUAAUUUUAGCGGAUGUGUGCUCUCCACUGGCACCACAACUCACAGGCAAAGAGCCUAGGGAGCCUUGUCUGUGGAGGUGGUGCCCAGCCUGGAGGAAAUAGCAGGAGGUAUGCACCGGGGCCAUGCUGGCCACAGAGUUCUUUCAUAUUUCCUCAUUUCCCUGCGUGUCUAUUGUCUCUCUUCUGGACCAGGAACUCGACAGACCAGGUCAGGGUGGAGAGACAGAGCAGUGUCCGCUCAGCGGCCCAUUCGAGGCUCUCCUCUGUUUUUCUUCUCCCUUCCAGUCUCUUUUUUCUCCCUUCUUUCCAAUUACCUUAGGAGAGGGAAAGGAAAAUUGACUUUGGCUAGUUUGGCUCUAUUUUCUUUCCAAACAUAAUGUUUUUGCCAAGAUUUCAGAUUUUGAAAAUCAAAAGCCAAGAAUUUACAUCUUUUGUUCCAUAGCAUAAUCCACCCGUAAGGCAGUAUGCCAAAAAAAAAAAAUGCUUCACAGAAGGGUCACAGGUAACAAGAAUCACCGAGCAGGGAAAACAUCAUUUAAUACCUCAAAAUAUUAACCUGCUGUGUUUGCAGACAGAAGGUGUUAAUUACCACUGACAUGCAUAUUUAUUUUUACAAGAAACUUUUGAUCUUGAGAAUAUACAUUCUCUCUUAUUUAACAUGUGAUGUUCUACCUGAUGGUACUUAACACAGAGUAAGCACUCAGACAUGUUAUUUUUUUUUUUUUCCGCUAACAAGAGUUUUAUUAAAGGUAAAGGGACAGAGAGUGAACAGGCCUGCAGGAAACACGUGUGUGGAGAAGAAGGAGGAAGAAGAAGAAGAAGGAACCGGGAACAUGGCACCGGAUUUUAAAGGCUGGGCGUGGACAGACAUGUUAUUUUAUUGCAUCCAAAUAUCCACAACUUGACUACUUCUCACCCAGUUCCAUCCCUGCUCUUCAAAGGAUAGAGCAAGGACCUGUCUGGUCUUUCCACUUUGCAUAAAGAAAAAAAAAUGGAGCCCCAUGUUCCUUGAGCCAUGAGCAAAAGAGAGCAUACCCCAAGCUGUUCUCCUUUGUAAACAUGCUUUUUGCUGUGAGAUCCCAUGCCUAGUAGUUCUGAGAAAUGAAAAAAAUAUAUAUAUAUAAAAUACAUGUGCCUGCUAAACUCACUAUUUGAUUACAUAUCCCUUCUUACGAUGAAACUUGUAUUUAUCCAACAAUUUGGAUUGUGUGAAGACAUGAGGCUGAUACUAAAUUUAGAAAUUCCUUAGGAAUGGUAAUAUCUCCUGCAUAAUUAAUAAUUAUGAUGGGGGACUUUUGUUGACCACAGAUGUGGAUGCUAAGGGUUUGAAAACUGUGUGAAAAAUUGCUCAUCUUUUCUCCCAUGUCAAGUAAGUCUGUUGGGUAGUUUGGCUCUUGUAACUAUAAUUACAUAGGUUUGCUUUUCGUAGGUAAUAGACUCUCAGUCAUUUAUAUACAAAUGAAUAUUAUUCAUCCUUGUCCUUGAUAGCAGACUUCUAUAAACUGAAGGGGUAGGCGCAGAUGUGAUUUGAGAUGUCUUAUAGUCAUGAAUGUGGUAAACUAUGGCUGAAGGGUCUUGCAACACACCUCUUCUAUCCAUCAUUUUUCUGUUACCUCGUUCUAUCUGCACUCAUGUUGUUGUUGUUUUUUUUUUAAUCCUUCUAAAUUUCUAUGGAGGUCAUGCUUCUUUGAAGCUCUAAAGCCAAGGAAGCUUGAAAGGUAAUUUUGGUUUCAGGCCAUCCACCAGGCUGGGCAGUUAGAUAAUGUUCCUGAGCCUCAGUUUCUCAUCUGUAAAAGGAAGGACAUACCAUACCUUUCCAGAGUGGUGUUUCUUCACAUAAUGAAAUGGUUGCUGAGGAGAAAGACUGAUAUAUAAUAAAUGUUCAUGUUCCCUUCCCUUGCGAUCUCCAGGGACUUCCUGAUCACAUAUAAAGUGCCACUUUCAGAGGGAAUACACAACUGACUGCAAGCCAGCUCCUCCAAAGAAAGGAAUCUAGCUGUGAAGUAGGGUAGGGCAACAGCUGUGUUACUGUGACUUGAGAGUGGAUAAUUAGAAUGGAUGUGUGUUUGCAACACGAAUCUUAGAAGGUCUUAUUAAUUAAACAAACAAACAAAAACAAAGCCCUCGAAGCCAGGUAUUGGGGUUAAAGCUGAAAGAUCAGAGAGAUGGAACAAGCCACAGCCAACCUCACCUCGUCAACUUUUCAGCUGAUCCUGUUUCCUCAGACUGGAAGCCUCUGAGUCCUCACCUGGAAGGGAUCUCAGCUGAACUUCUUAAAAGUCUUCUAGGAAAUCCUCAGCCCAAGAGCCUCUGAGUCCUCUCCCAAAAGAUUCUUAGUUAAAUUGCUUAAAAGCCUCUAGUUCCUGGUCCUCAUGCCUUAUAUACCUUUCUGCUUCCUGCCAUCACUUCCUGGGAUUAAAGGCAUGUGUCACCAUGCCUGGCUGUUUCCAGUGUGGCCUUGAACUCUCUGUCUCCCGAGUGAUAAGAUUAAGGGUGUGUGCCACCACUGUCUGGCCUCUACAUCUAAUCUAGUGGCUGGCUCUCUCCUCUGAUCCCCAGAUAAGUUUAUUAGGGUGUACAAUAUAUUGGGGAACAGCUGGGCAGUGGUGGCACAUGCCUUUAAUCUCAGCACUCGGGAGGCAGAGGCAGGCAGAUCUGUGUAGUUUCCAGGCCAACCUGGUCUACAGAGGGAGUUCCAGGAAAGGCUCCAAAGCUACACAGAGAAACCCUGUCUCAAAAAACCAAUACACAAUAUAUAUAUCACCAUGUGUUCAUUGUGCAUUGAGAGGGCCACGAUGAAGAAGCUAAUGUCAUUCAUGCUGCGUCAUUCCAUGGUAGAAGGCACAGGGACAAGAGAGACCAAGAAGUAUCCAAAUAUCCUUUCCCAGUAGCAUCCAUUAUAGCCACAAAUAUUGCUGUUUCUUCAAGGUCUUACCUCCCAAGACCCUCCUCACGUAGGCAUGAAUUUCCGCCUGGACUUUGAUUGGACAAAACAGACCACAGCAAAGGUACAUAAAGAGAUAGAAAAUGGACCCCAACACAUUGCUCCAAGAAGGUUUUUCUCAAGUCUGACUUUGUGGCUGUUAUUGCUGCUGCCGUCACGCGUUGCUGACAGCGACACAAACAGCGUGGUCUCAUAGUGGGGAAGCUUGGGAAUUCAGCUAAUGGCACGAGAGCCGGCCAAACGCCAGCCAGGAAAGUGGGUGUGCGCAUGAUGUCAGAGACAUUGUCCAUGUAGGAAGACUGUCCGGGCAAUUUGUUAGGAUUAAAACCACCUGGGCUUAAGUAGGCCAGCCUAGCACCAAAGCACAUUGAUAACACCUUUCCCAGUGAGAAGGUGGAGUGUUCAAGUCCUGGGACCUGGCCUGGUGCCUUCUGCACUCGACGGGAUUUGAGCCUUUUCCUGAAGAAAUAGCUAGUGUUUUUUGUUUGUUUGUUUGUUUGUUUUUUAAUGAAUACUAGCAAGUUGUAUUUGUAUGCUCUAAUACAGAGAUUGAGAGACUUUGCUGUUUCCCACUGUGUCCUCAGAACUUAGUGCCUAACCCACAGCAGCUGUUACAUAAACAUUUCUGAAAGGAAAUUUUAGAAAAUGAUUAUAUAAAACAAUGUCAGAUUGUUUUAAAAAAAAAGUGGUGUGAUAGGGAAUUUUGAUGGCUAUUCUUGGUUGUCAACAUGACUAUAUCUAGAAUUAAUAAAACCCCCAAAUUGAAGGGUAAACCUGAGAGGGAUUUUUUGCUUAAUUUGAAGUGGGAGGAUCCACUUCGAAUCUGUAUCUUGGAGGUGGGAAGACCCACCUCGAGUCUGGGCCACACCUCCUACUGGAAGCCUGCAUAAGGACAUGGAAGAAGGAAGCUUUUGCUCUUUGCCAGCUUGCUCUCACCUCUCUAGCAAGUCCAUUUCUUCACUGACACUAGAACCUACUUCUUUGGGAUUCCAGUAUAUGCUGAAGACCAGUGUAGACAUCCAGCCUCAUCGGAAACUAUUAGGUUCUUGGACCUUUUGUUCAUAAACAGCACUACGGGAUUAGGCCAAUGAAGAUGUCGGCUGUUAUCAUCUGUCGACCCAACUGGAGCAGGAGAAUCCACUUCCAAGAUGGCUCCCUUGCAGGGCUGCUGGCCGCUCAGUUCUUUGCCAUGUGGGCCCUUUCAUGGGGCAGUUUGAGUCUACAUCACUCAGGGAGAGAGUAAGGAGGGGAUUUAUUGGAGUGGCUUACAGGCUGUGGUUCAGCUAGUCCAACCAUGAUUGUUUACCAACAGAAGGUCCAAGAAUCCAGGAGUUGUCCAAUCCAUGAGGGCGGAUGCCUCAGCUGGCCUUCAGCAUACUCCAGAAUCCCAAAGAAGUAGGUUCCUUCUUCCAUGUUCUGUGUAUAGACUGCCAGCAGAAGGUGUGGUCCAGAUGAAGGUGAUCUUCUCAUCUCAAAAGAGCCAGACUAAAGGAAACCCAUUUCUUCAACAAGUAUUAUCAGUUGUCUUCUCCUUGCUGUGUGCUGUGCCAAGCACUAAAUAUGAGUGAGAAAGUGGCCUUGUCCUCCUGAAGCCCGCUGUCCACAAGAGAAGGCAGCAGUUGAACCCGGCAUAUGAUGUCAUCACGGCCAAUGCAGUACUAACGGGCCGGUGUCAGGAGGACACUUACCUCUCCUGUACAAGUAUACAGAACCUUCUCUGAGGGAUGACAAGUUGAGAACUGGAGGAUGAGAACAUCAUGGAGCUUAAAAACAAAACGAAUUACAACCUCAAACAAGAACUGGAAUCGCCACUAAUGAAGAAAGUGAUAAGACACAGCACAAAGGCACUUGGUACAAAGAUGAGGCCUUCUCCACCUGCAUGUCUAGGUCACUCUUUACUUGCUUAUAGACAAGAAACCGAAUCCCAACAAGGCAAGGAGACUUUAAGUCCACAUGGUUAGUUACAGCAUCAUUGGCAAAAACCUUCACUUCCUGACUUCCAACUCUACCAUGACUGGCAUCUUGACUCCCGUUCUGCUUAUUAGUAUAGAGAUAGAAAAUGGAACAUAGACAAGGUAUAAAAAUGGUAGCUCACUACUAAAUUUGUUCUAAUUUGUUUUCAUUCUUAGAGUUGUUUUAAUGCCUCUCAAGUAAUCAACUGUCAUUACUUUAGUAAUACAAAUGCAUAAUAUAAAAUUUAGUAAUUUAAGACUAUAAGAUCACAAGAGAAGAAAUGAACAUUCAACUAAUUUAUUAUUAAUAUUAUCAUUUAGUAGGCAGUAUGUGAUAAAUCUUACUGCUGGGCCUAUGUCAUCAACAUCUGCUACUUCAUGCCAUUUGUCUAGAGGCAGCUGAUGUCAGGGAAGAGAAAACCGGUCCCUGCCAUGCUGGCCUGGGAAACGCAUCUCAUUGAGCAGUGGUAUAUAUAUCACAGGCUAAGGAUGCUCGGAAGAGAGAUACAUGAGGCUGUGGUUUCCCCAGCAGAUACAGCUGUCGUCAGGCUCUUUAGAGAUAACUGCUGAUGACAGGGCCUAGGAAGAAGAUGAAGACUUCACCAAGCUGUGGAAGUUGAAUUGACGAAAACCAUGCAGGACAUGCACGUGGUACAGGGAAAGGCCAUGUGUAUCCAAGUUGAGAGUUAACCUUUCAUUUGCUCCCUGGUUACUUUAUGUAGUAUUCUCUCCCCUAUUGUGGCUGCCCUUUGAGCAUGUAUUUUUGUGAAUAUUCAGUUGGUCACAGCUCAUGAGAGUGGCCAUUAUGUCAGUAUAUACUGUAGACUCUCCUCGAUGUCUCUGUGUCUUUUGGCUUUUCUGACCACACCUUGGGGCUCAACUCAUGCUCAAGCCAUUCUGUUGUGUUGCAGGUAGGUGUGGUGGCCAUGAGACUACAUAAUGUGACUCUCUUAAUUGAGUCUGAUAUGACUACUGUAUGAUCAGCAGAAUCCCCCCGAAAUGAGGCAACAACAACCGCAGACUGCAUUGGAAGUCUGCAUGAGCCAAGAGCCAUGUCUAAACUUCAUCAACCAUGACUUCACCAUUGCAACCCCACCAGCAGGACCAGCAUCACCUUCCCAGACUGGAGCACUAUUACCUCUCACCAUUCCCGAGCCGCAGGAAGAAAGGGUGCGGUCUUGUUUCUGCCCCCUCCAAGCCCUCCAGCACUCUCCAGCAGCCAUUGUACUGUCCACAUAGCCACCGUGGUAAAGGGUCAACCUUGCUUGUCUUCAUCCCAGACUUGGUUCUGUGCUUUGGCUCACUGUGUGAGCAUGGACAGAUUCGAUAACUUCUGAGACUCUCCCUUUAUUCAGGUGUGAAGCUGGAAUAAUGCCAACCUCAUAGCAGUCUAAGAAUGAGGAAGAAACUCACUUAUUAUAUUUGAAAUGGCUCUGAAGAUGUGUCCACACCAAAUGAGUAUAGGUAGAUGUUCAAUAACCUACAUAUGCUACAUAUAUUGUGUAAAAUUAUUUUUAUCACUGAGUUGUAUUUGCAUUCCUAUGUUCAUCUAUCUAUUGAUACAUUUAUUCAAUAAAAUCUUAUUAUACAAUCA